Molecule: ribosomal RNA, 449 nt
Filed under: uncultured bacterium
Lineage: Bacteria
Description: bacterial SSU rRNA
Rfam family: Bacterial small subunit ribosomal RNA
Source: RNAcentral
GACGAACGCUGGCGGCGUGCCUAACACAUGCAAGUCGAACGGAACUGUUUUGAAAGAUUUCUUCGGAAUGAAUUUGAUUUAGUUUAGUGGCGGACGGGUGAGUAACGCGUGAGUAACCUGCCUUCAAGAGGGGGAUAACAUUCUGAAAAGAAUGCUAAUACCGCAUGACAUAUCGGAACCACAUGGUUUUGAUAUCAAAGAUUUUAUCGCUUGAAGAUGGACUCGCGUCCGAUUAGUUAGUUGGUGAAGUAACGGCUCACCAAGACCGCGAUCGGUAGCCGGACUGAGAGGUUGAACGGCCACAUUGGGACUGAGACACGGCCCAGACUCCUACGGGAGGCAGCAGUGGGGGAUAUUGCGCAAUGGGGGCAACCCUGACGCAGCAACGCCGCGUGAAGGAUGAAGGUUUUCGGAUUGUAAACUUCUUUUAUUAAGGACGAAAAAUGACG